This 1372-nucleotide ribosomal RNA is filed under the name uncultured bacterium. RNAcentral's name for it is "bacterial SSU rRNA". It matches the Rfam family "Bacterial small subunit ribosomal RNA", at positions 28 to 1381 of the family's 1533-position model. The record is from RNAcentral.
GAUGAACGCUGGCGGCGUGCCUAAUACAUGCAAGUCGAGCGAACGGACGAGAAGCUUGCUUCUCUGAUGUUAGCGGCGGACGGGUGAGUAACACGUGGAUAACCUACCUAUAAGACUGGGAUAACUUCGGGAAACCGGAGCUAAUACCGGAUAAUAUUUUGAACCGCAUGGUUCAAAAGUGAAAGACGGUCUUGCUGUCACUUAUAGAUGGAUCCGCGCUGCAUUAGCUAGUUGGUAAGGUAACGGCUUACCAAGGCAACGAUGCAUAGCCGACCUGAGAGGGUGAUCGGCCACACUGGAACUGAGACACGGUCCAGACUCCUACGGGAGGCAGCAGUAGGGAAUCUUCCGCAAUGGGCGAAAGCCUGACGGAGCAACGCCGCGUGAGUGAUGAAGGUCUUCGGAUCGUAAAACUCUGUUAUUAGGGAAGAACAUAUGUGUAAGUAACUGUGCACAUCUUGACGGUACCUAAUCAGAAAGCCACGGCUAACUACGUGCCAGCAGCCGCGGUAAUACGUAGGUGGCAAGCGUUAUCCGGAAUUAUUGGGCGUAAAGCGCGCGUAGGCGGUUUUUUAAGUCUGAUGUGAAAGCCCACGGCUCAACCGUGGAGGGUCAUUGGAAACUGGAAAACUUGAGUGCAGAAGAGGAAAGUGGAAUUCCAUGUGUAGCAGUGAAAUGCGCAGAGAUAUGGAGGAACACCAGUGGCGAAGGCGACUUUCUGGUCUGUAACUGACGCUGAUGUGCGAAAGCGUGGGGAUCAAACAGGAUUAGAUACCCUGGUAGUCCACGCCGUAAACGAUGAGUGCUAAGUGUUAGGGGGUUUCCGCCCCUUAGUGCUGCAGCUAACGCAUUAAGCACUCCGCCUGGGGAGUACGACCGCAAGGUUGAAACUCAAAGGAAUUGACGGGGACCCGCACAAGCGGUGGAGCAUGUGGUUUAAUUCGAAGCAACGCGAAGAACCUUACCAAAUCUUGACAUCCUUUGACAACUCUAGAGAUAGAGCUUUCCCCUUCGGGGGACAAAGUGACAGGUGGUGCAUGGUUGUCGUCAGCUCGUGUCGUGAGAUGUUGGGUUAAGUCCCGCAACGAGCGCAUCCCUUAAGCUUAGUUGCCAUCAUUAAGUUGGGCACUCUAAGUUGACUGCCGGUGACAAACCGGAGGAAGGUGGGGAUGACGUCAAAUCAUCAUGCCCCUUAUGAUUUGGGCUACACACGUGCUACAAUGGACAAUACAAAGGGCAGCGAAACCGCGAGGUCAAGCAAAUCCCAUAAAGUUGUUCUCAGUUCGGAUUGUAGUCUGCAACUCGACUACAUGAAGCUGGAAUCGCUAGUAAUCGUAGAUCAGCAUGCUACGGUGAAUACGUUCCCGGGUCU